RNAcentral lists this transfer RNA (82 nucleotides) under Luethyella okanaganae. RNAcentral's name for it is "tRNA-Leu". It matches the Rfam family "tRNA". Rfam says of the family: Transfer RNA (tRNA) molecules are approximately 80 nucleotides in length. Lineage: Bacteria; Bacillati; Actinomycetota; Actinomycetes; Micrococcales; Microbacteriaceae. The record is from RNAcentral. RNAcentral also lists the same sequence under 7 other names.
GCGGGAGUGGUGAAAUUGGCAGACACGCAGGAUUUAGGUUCCUGUGCCUUCGGGCGUGAGGGUUCAAGUCCCUCCUUCCGCA